Molecule: ribosomal RNA, 274 nt
Filed under: uncultured bacterium
Lineage: Bacteria
Description: partial 16S ribosomal RNA
Rfam family: Bacterial small subunit ribosomal RNA
Source: RNAcentral
AUACGAAGGUCCCAAGCGUUACUCGGAAUCACUGGGCGUAAAGAGUACGUAGGCGGUUUGGUAAGUCAGGUGUGAAAUCCCGAAGCUCAACUUCGGAACUGCAUCCGAUACUGCCAGACUAGAGUAAUGGAGAGGCAGGUGGAAUUCUCGGUGUAGCAGUGAAAUGCGUGGAUAUCGAGAGGAAGACCAAUGGCGAAGGCAGCCUGCUGGACAUUUACUGACGCUGAGGUACGAAGGCUAGGGGAGCGAAAGGGAUUAGAAACCCCAGUAGUCC